AGAUUUAAUCAAAUUCAAAGAAACCUUAAAGAAAUUACAAAAGAAACAAGAAGAAAUUGUAAAGAAGUUGAAAGAAAAUCUAUAAUAAACCUUAAAAGAAUCCUUAAGAAGUCCUAAAAAAUAUUAAAAUGAUUAAAAAUAUAUCUUAAAUAAAUUUAAAUCAAGUUUUAAUUUAAUCUUAAUUGAAAUCCUAAUAGACUUCAAUCAAUUCCUAGACAAAUCUUAAAUCCUAAAUCAAAUCCUAAAUCAAAUUUAUAGAUCCUAAACCAAAUCCUAAAUCCUAAACCAAACCUUAGAUCAAAUCUUAGACCUUAAAUCAAAUCCUAAAUAAAAUCUUAGAAAAAUCUUAAAUCCUAAAUUAAAU
RNAcentral lists this long non-coding RNA (364 nucleotides) under Physcomitrium patens. RNAcentral's name for it is "long non-coding RNA (PPAT_LNC004883)". The record is from RNAcentral. Lineage: Eukaryota; Viridiplantae; Streptophyta; Bryopsida; Funariales; Funariaceae.